UUAUUUAGAAAUAAUAUUAUGAUUAGGUAUUUAAUUAUGAAUUUAAAAAUUUAAAUUUAAAACCACAUAAGCAAUAUUUAGUUAAGAUAUAAUACAUAAAUAAUUUUUUUUAUGUGUGUGUUAAAAAAAAAAAAGAGAAGGUAGAAGGAACAAAAAAAAGGGGGGGUGGAAGGUUGUUGUUUCUAAGUCCCACAUUGGUUAGAUGAGGGAAGAGAAGAGGUGCCUUCAUGUAUAAAAAGGAGGGGGUGUGUGCAUUAGGAAGCAUGAGAGGCUAAGAUGCAAUUUAGAGAAAAUUGCAACUUUGGGCCCAAAGGUUUGAAUAAUUAAAUUCAAACCUAUAGUUUUUUUUUUAAUAUAAUUUUGGGACUCACAAUCCCAUUUUUAUAUUAUUUUUCUCUCUUCCUCUCACGUUGCUCGGCGUUUUCUCGCAAGGGGGGAUUAUUUUCUUUUUCUUCAGAUUAUAUUGACAAAGAUAGUGGUGAAAAAGGAGUUGUGAAGGGGAACUUGUUAUUCAAGACACAAGGAGCGAAUCCGGCCGAGAAAGCACCAGAGGUGUAAUUAUGGUGUAUGAGACACCAUCUUUUACGUUGCCUCUUAUUUUGGAUUAUACAAUGUAUCUUGUGCCAACUUAGGACAUAUCUUGUCUAUGGAGCAUGUAAACUCUAAUCCUUUUUAUUAAAUGCAUUUAUAUGUCCAAGAGGAUUAUGUCUGUCCCUUUUGAUUCAUGACCUAAUUUAAAUAACAUGCUAUGAGGAUCAUGUCUGUCCCUCAUGGUUCUAAUUGCUUUUUGAGAUAUUUUAAGACCUGUGGUAUAUUGUCUUGGAUGUAUCAUGGUAGAAAUUUUUCUACC
Molecule: long non-coding RNA, 850 nt
Organism: Prosopis cineraria
Lineage: Eukaryota; Viridiplantae; Streptophyta; Magnoliopsida; Fabales; Fabaceae
Exons: 3
Source: RefSeq, a predicted model, not a curated record